Dipodomys ordii (Ord's kangaroo rat) is the source of this 121-nucleotide non-coding RNA. The record is from Rfam. NCBI's taxonomy places the organism in Eukaryota, Metazoa, Chordata, Mammalia, Rodentia, Heteromyidae.
CACCAAUACCUUUGUUAAUAUAAAACUCCUACCACAAUUUGUGUUUGCUAUAGUAAGAAAGUCUAGCCUAAUCCAGUGUUCUCUCUUCCACAAGAUAAGCCAUUUUAUAGCCUUAAACUGU